This is a non-coding RNA of Desmophyllum pertusum, 73 nucleotides long. The record is from the annotation of a GenBank genome assembly. NCBI's taxonomy places the organism in Eukaryota, Metazoa, Cnidaria, Anthozoa, Scleractinia, Caryophylliidae.
UCCUCUGUAGCUCAGUGGCUAGAGCAUCCGACCGGUGUACGGAAGGUCAUGGGUUUGAUUCCUGUCGGAGACU